RNAcentral lists this small nuclear RNA (136 nucleotides) under Chinchilla lanigera (long-tailed chinchilla). RNAcentral's name for it is "U4 spliceosomal RNA (ENSCLAG00000019753.1)". It matches the Rfam family "U4 spliceosomal RNA". From Rfam's summary of the family: U4 small nuclear RNA (U4 snRNA) is a component of the major U2-dependent spliceosome. The structure of U4 snRNA from yeast and human has been reported. U4 snRNA presents a k-turn RNA motif in the 5p-SL related to recognition of Snu13 protein. The record is from Rfam by way of RNAcentral. Lineage: Eukaryota; Metazoa; Chordata; Mammalia; Rodentia; Chinchillidae.
UGCUUUGCGCAGUGGCAGUAUCCUAGCCAAUGAGGAUUCCGAGGCACGAUUAUUGCUACUUGUACAGAGGCUUUGCCUAAGCAUUUCAGUUUUUAGUUCAUUUAUUUAACAAAUAUUCCUGGAGAGCCUACCAAGC